GUUUUAUUCUGCCGUCAGACAAUUAGCUAGAUGGCCGCAUUAUGGUCCGUGUUUGAUGAAAUCGAGCCCAGUGAUAUCGCAAAAUCAUCUGGUGAUGAAGAAACAUCGUUGACUGCUUAUAGGAUUUCGGAGGACGAUCUCAUCUCAGAUAUAUGGCAGGUAACGAAACCGAGUCAUGCCAUUAUAUGUGAACGAUGAGAGCUUUGGUGUGGAGACCACAAACUCUUCUGUUUUAAGAGACGAACAUGUAGAUUCAACUUUUUUUACUUCUUAAUGGUGUUCUGGUCUUGAUAGUAAGGUCUUCUUUUCCUUUGCCAAUGGCUACGGCUUGUACAAGAAGAUCGAGGCCCAUCAUAUCCCUUAAAGUGAACACAUACUUCUCAAACAAAAGUUUUCCCUCC
This is a long non-coding RNA of Helianthus annuus (common sunflower), 401 nucleotides long. RefSeq lists it as uncharacterized. The transcript has 3 exons. The record is from RefSeq and is a predicted model, not a curated record. NCBI's taxonomy places the organism in Eukaryota, Viridiplantae, Streptophyta, Magnoliopsida, Asterales, Asteraceae.